This 465-nucleotide ribosomal RNA is filed under the name Vreelandella stevensii. RNAcentral's name for it is "partial 16S ribosomal RNA". It matches the Rfam family "Bacterial small subunit ribosomal RNA", at positions 338 to 795 of the family's 1533-position model. The record is from RNAcentral. Lineage: Bacteria; Pseudomonadati; Pseudomonadota; Gammaproteobacteria; Oceanospirillales; Halomonadaceae.
CCUGCGGGUGGCAGCAGUGGGGAAUAUUGGACAAUGGGCGAAAGCCUGAUCCAGCCAUGCCGCGUGUGUGAAGAAGGCCUUCGGGUUGUAAAGCACUUUCAGUGGGGAAGAAAGCCUUGGGGCUAAUACCCUCGAGGAAGGACAUCACCCACAGAAGAAGCACCGGCUAACUCCGUGCCAGCAGCCGCGGUAAUACGGAGGGUGCGAGCGUUAAUCGGAAUUACUGGGCGUAAAGCGCGCGUAGGCGGUCUGAUAAGCCGGUUGUGAAAGCCCCGGGCUCAACCUGGGAACGGCAUCCGGAACUGUCAGGCUAGAGUGCAGGAGAGGAAGGUAGAAUUCCCGGUGUAGCGGUGAAAUGCGUAGAGAUCGGGAGGAAUACCAGUGGCGAAGGCGGCCUUCUGGACUGACACUGACGCUGAGGUGCGAAAGCGUGGGUAGCAAACAGGAUUAGAUACCCCGGUAGUC